AGAGUUGAAAAGGUGCAUCAUG
This 22-nucleotide non-coding RNA is filed under the name Arabidopsis thaliana (thale cress). Lineage: Eukaryota; Viridiplantae; Streptophyta; Magnoliopsida; Brassicales; Brassicaceae. The record is from RNAcentral.